GAUGCGACCUCAGCUCAGGCGGGGCCACCCGCUGAGUUUAAGCAUAUCAAUAAGCGGAGGAAAAGAACUAACANGGAUUCCCCUAG
RNAcentral lists this ribosomal RNA (86 nucleotides) under Gilbertiodendron tonkolili. RNAcentral's name for it is "partial 26S ribosomal RNA". It matches the Rfam family "Eukaryotic large subunit ribosomal RNA", at positions 1 to 83 of the family's 3401-position model. The record is from RNAcentral. Lineage: Eukaryota; Viridiplantae; Streptophyta; Magnoliopsida; Fabales; Fabaceae.